CACGUAGGGGGCAAGCGUUGUCCGGAUUCAUUGGGCGUAAAGAGCUCGUAGGCGGCUUGUCACGUCGGGUGUGAAAGCCCGGGGCUUAACCCCGGGUCUGCAUUCGAUACGGGCUAGCUAGAGUGUGGUAGGGGAGAUCGGAAUUCCUGGUGUAGCGGUGAAAUGCGCAGAUAUCAGGAGGAACACCGGUGGCGAAGGCGGAUCUCUGGGCCAUUACUGACGCUGAGGAGCGAAAGCGUGGGGAGCGAACAGG
RNAcentral lists this ribosomal RNA (253 nucleotides) under uncultured bacterium. RNAcentral's name for it is "partial 16S ribosomal RNA". It matches the Rfam family "Bacterial small subunit ribosomal RNA", at positions 524 to 776 of the family's 1533-position model. The record is from RNAcentral.